CUCUGGCAUGACGUGACACUUCCUACGGCUCCCAUGGGCUCUCAGAAGGCGGGAAAAAGCUGAACGAUGUAAUUCCAUCCCCAGGCUGAAACACAUUAGCUCGUUUGGCAAGUGCUCUAUCAGAGGGCCAUUAGACUGAGGCUCGUGCAUGAGGGGAUAGCAUGCUUUUACUUUCACUCUCUUUGUAAUAAAAAACGACUUCCCGGUCGGAAUAUUAUCGCUUUUUUACGAGAAAAAUGGCAUAAAAAUGUAUUUUAAACAGCGGUUGACAUGCUUCGAAGUACGGUAAUGGAAUAUUUAGAAUUUUUUGGUCACGAAAUGCGCCAUGCUCGUCACCCUUAUUUACCCUUUCGGAUAGUGUCUUGAACGCACGAACACAACGCCGCUAUUUGGAUAUAACAAUGGAUUAUUUGGGACCAAACCAACAUUUGUUAUUGAAGUAGAAGUCCUGGGAGUGCAUUCUGACGAAGAACAGCAAAGACCCCAAGUCUCCCGGCUCCUACGUCCUGAACCCCUACUGCUCCUGCUGCCCCCUAGCAUCCUCGUCUUUACUGAGACCUCCCCUGUAGACACUGGACUGCACACAGGUACUACUGCUCCUGCUGCCCCCUAGCAUCCUCGUCUUUACUGAGACCUCCCCUGUAGACACUGGACUGCACACAGGCACCUCCGGCUUCCAACACGACGUACAAGAUGUGAGCUCUCUCCAGGUCUACAGGCACAUUACUGAUCCCAGUAGCUCCUUACAUCUUGAAAUAUUGAAUGUGUUUCCCGAUAUACAUAAUAAUGAAGUGGUAAAGAAAAAAGCUCCCUUCU
This 816-nucleotide long non-coding RNA is filed under the name Salmo salar (Atlantic salmon). Its description in RNAcentral is "lncRNA (ENSSSAG00000101245.1)". Lineage: Eukaryota; Metazoa; Chordata; Actinopteri; Salmoniformes; Salmonidae. The record is from RNAcentral.